GACGAACGCUGGCGGCGUGCUUAACACAUGCAAGUCGAACGGAAAGGCCCUGCUUUUGUGGGGUGCUCGAGUGGCGAACGGGUGAGUAACACGUGAGUAACCUGCCCUUGACUUUGGGAUAACUUCCGGAAACUGGGGCUAAUACCGGAUAGGAGCUCCUGCUGCAUGGUGGGGGUUGGAAAGUUUCGGCGGUUGGGGUUGGACUCGCGGCUUAUCAGCUUGUUUGUGGGGUAGUGGCUUACCAAGGGUUAGACGGGUAGCCGGCCUGAGAGGGUGACCGGCCACAUUGGGCCUGCGAUACGGCCCAGACGGCUACGGGAGGCAGCAGUGGGGAAUAUUGCACAAUGGGCGGAAGCCUGAUGCAGCAACGCCGCGUGCGGGAUGACGGCCUUCGGGUUGUAAACCGCUUUCGCCUGUGACGAAGCGUGAGUGACGGUAAUGGGUAAAGAAGCACCGGCUAACUACGUG
RNAcentral lists this ribosomal RNA (468 nucleotides) under uncultured bacterium. Its description in RNAcentral is "partial 16S ribosomal RNA". It matches the Rfam family "Bacterial small subunit ribosomal RNA", at positions 28 to 507 of the family's 1533-position model. The record is from RNAcentral.